GGCUCUCUAGUCUUCCUUCUCGACUAAAGAAUAUACAGCAGAACGGGAGUAAACCAUCAGCUAACCUCCAAAGUAUAAUGCUACUAAAGGGAAACUUGAAGGAACACCAAUGGAAAUGCAGCGAAAAUUAAACAGAGUGAUGGAAUAGGGUAAUCAGAACAGAAAAGAAAAAGAAGAUGAUGAUAAUGAUGAUACCAUGGUGACGAGUAAUAAACUGGAAGCCGCAAGUGGAGAUUAGGGUUUUCGAGAGUUUGUCUGAACCUUCAACCUCCCUGGACGUGCUAAAGCUCCGGUGGCAGAGGAUGUUGUAUUUUAUAUUUAGGGUUUUUAGAAUGAGGGCCAAUGUAAAAUAACAUCAUCGUCCUCCGAGUUUCCUUUAAUUGUGAAUUUGUCCCAAACUUUUGUUUUGUUAAUUAUUUUAGAUUUUUCGAAAGGAUAAUUAUUUUA
Long non-coding RNA from Cucumis sativus (cucumber), 447 nucleotides. RefSeq lists it as uncharacterized. The record is from RefSeq and is a predicted model, not a curated record. Lineage: Eukaryota; Viridiplantae; Streptophyta; Magnoliopsida; Cucurbitales; Cucurbitaceae. The transcript has 2 exons.